GCGUUCUGUAAGCCUGUGAAGGUGGCCUGUGAGGGUUGCUGGAGGUAUCAGAAGUGCGAAUGCUGACAUAAGUAACGAUAAAGCGGGUGAAAAGCCCGCUCGCCGGAAGACCAAGGGUUCCUGUCCAACGUUAAUCGGGGCAGGGUGAGUCGACCCCUAAGGCGAGGCCGAAAGGCGUAGUCGAUGGGAAACAGGUUAAUAUUCCUGUACUUGGUGUUACUGCGAAGGGGGGACGGAGAAGGCUAUGUUGGCCGGGCGACGGUUGUCCCGGUUUAAGCGUGUAGGCUGGUUUUCCAGGCAAAUCCGGAAAACCAAGGCUGAGGCGUGAUGACGAGGCACUACGGUGCUGAAGCGACAAAUGCCCUGCUUCCAGGAAAAGCCUCUAAGCAUCAGGUAACAUCAAAUCGUACCCCAAACCGACACAGGUGGUCAGGUAGAGAAUACCAAGGCGCUUGAGAGAACUCGGGUGAAGGAACUAGGCAAAAUGGUGCCGUAACUUCGGGAGAAGGCACGCUGAUAUGUAGGUGAAGCGACUUGCUCGUGGAGCUGAAAUCAGUCGAAGAUACCAGCUGGCUGCAACUGUUUAUUAAAAACACAGCACUGUGCAAACACGAAAGUGGACGUAUACGGUGUGACGCCUGCCCGGUGCCGGAAGGUUAAUUGAUGGGGUUAGCGGUAACGCGAAGCUCUUGAUCGAAGCCCCGGUAAACGGCGGCCGUAACUAUAACGGUCCUAAGGUAGCGAAAUUCCUUGUCGGGUAAGUUCCGACCUGCACGAAUGGCGUAAUGAUGGCCAGGCUGUCUCCACCCGAGACUCAGUGAAAUUGAACUCGCUGUGAAGAUGCAGUGUACCCGCGGCAAGACGGAAAGACCCCGUGAACCUUUACUAUAGCUUGACACUGAACAUUGAGCCUUGAUGUGUAGGAUAGGUGGGAGGCUUUGAAGUGUGGACGCCAGUCUGCAUGGAGCCGACCUUGAAAUACCACCCUUUAAUGUUUGAUGUUCUAACGUGGGCCCCUAAUCGGGGUUGCGGACAGUGUCUGGUGGGUAGUUUGACUGGGGCGGUCUCCUCCUAAAGAGUAACGGAGGAGCACGAAGGUUGGCUAAUCCUGGUCGGACAUCAGGAGGUUAGUGCAAUGGCAUAAGCCAGCUUGACUGCGAGCGUGACGGCGCGAGCAGGUGCGAAAGCAGGUCAUAGUGAUCCGGUGGUUCUGAAUGGAAGGGCCAUCGCUCAACGGAUAAAAGGUACUCCGGGGAUAACAGGCUGAUACCGCCCAAGAGUUCAUAUCGACGGCGGUGUUUGGCACCUCGAUGUCGGCUCAUCACAUCCUGGGGCUGAAGUAGGUCCCAAGGGUAUGGCUGUUCGCCAUUUAAAGUGGUACGCGAGCUGGGUUUAGAACGUCGUGAGACAGUUCGGUCCCUAUCUGCCGUGGGCGCUGGAGAACUGAGGGGGGCUGCUCCUAGUACGAGAGGACCGGAGUGGACGCAUCACUGGUGUUCGGGUUGUCAUGCCAAUGGCACUGCCCGGUAGCUAAAUGCGGAAGAGAUAAGUGCUGAAAGCAUCUAAGCACGAAACUUGCCCCGAGAUGAGUUCUCCCUGAGACUUAGAGUCUCCUGAAGGAACGUUGAAGACGACGACGUUGAUAGGCCGGGUGUGUAAGCGCAGCGAUGCGUUGAGCUAACCGGUACUAAUGAACCGUGAGGCUUAACCUU
RNAcentral lists this ribosomal RNA (1712 nucleotides) under Escherichia coli. RNAcentral describes it as "partial 23S ribosomal RNA". It matches the Rfam family "Bacterial large subunit ribosomal RNA", at positions 1236 to 2925 of the family's 2925-position model. Lineage: Bacteria; Pseudomonadati; Pseudomonadota; Gammaproteobacteria; Enterobacterales; Enterobacteriaceae. The record is from RNAcentral.